RNAcentral lists this ribosomal RNA (275 nucleotides) under uncultured Ascomycota. RNAcentral describes it as "partial 18S ribosomal RNA". It matches the Rfam family "Eukaryotic small subunit ribosomal RNA", at positions 548 to 829 of the family's 1831-position model. Lineage: Eukaryota; Fungi; Ascomycota. The record is from RNAcentral.
UUGGAGGGCAAGUCUGGUGCCAGCAGCCGCGGUAAUUCCAGCUCCAAUAGCGUAUAUUAAAGUUGUUGAGGUUAAAAAGCUCGUAGUUGAACCUUGGGCCUAGCCGGCCGGUCCGCCUCACCGCGUGCACUGGCCCGGCUGGGUCUUUCCUUCUGGAGAACCGCAUGCCCUUCACUGGGUGUGCCGGGGAACCAGGACUUUUACUCUGAACAAAUUAGAUCGCUUAAAGAAGGCCUAUGCUCGAAUACAUUAGCAUGGAAUAAUAGAAUAGGACG